AGGAUGAACGCUGGCGGCGUGCCUAAUACAUGCAAGUCGAGCGGUAAGGCCUCUUCGGAGGUACACGAGCGGCGGACGGCUGAGUAACACGUAGGAACGUACCCCAAAGUGAGGGAUAAGCUCUGGAAACAGAGUCUAAUACCGCAUGUGGUCCAAGGAUUAAAGCUUCGGCGCUUUGGGAACGGCCUGCGUCCGAUUAGCUUGUUGGUGAGGUAAAAGCUUACCAAGGCGACGAUCGGUAGCUGGUCUGAGAGGAUGAUCAGCCAGACUGGGACUGAGACACGGCCCAGACUCCUACGGGAGGCAGCAGUAGGGAAUUUUCCACAAUGGGCGAAAGCCUGAUGGAGCAACGCCGCGUGCAGGAUGAAUGCCUUAGGGUUGUAAACUGCUUUUAUAUGUGACGAUUAUGACUGUAGCAUAUGAAUAAGGAUCGGCUAACUCCGUGCCAGCAGCCGC
Molecule: ribosomal RNA, 456 nt
Filed under: uncultured bacterium
Lineage: Bacteria
Description: SSU rRNA
Rfam family: Bacterial small subunit ribosomal RNA
Source: RNAcentral